AAGGUUUUUUUUGUCUUUUUAUUGAAUCUUUUUUUUAUUGAAAUAUUUACGGAUUUUUUAAAAGGUUUUGUCCUCUUAUUACAUGUCUUUUGCACUUUUGAACGGUUGUGUCUUUUUAAUGCAAUUUUUUGUUGAUAUAUUUAUAAAUUCUUUCGAAUGUAUCUUUCUAUCGUAUCUUUUUGUUGAAAUGUUUACGAUUAUUUUUUACAAUCGUAUAUUUUCAGUUUACGUUUGUGUCUUUAUAGUUGUAUCUAAUCAUUUAAAGUUAUGUCUCUUCAUUAUAUUUUAUUGCAUUUACUCGUCACAAUUUCUCGUAUGAGUAGUUGUCUAUCUAAAUGUUUGUGACUUUUGAACUUUAUAUAUUUGUCACUUUCUAAGUGAAUCCCAAAUUU
Molecule: small RNA, 392 nt
Filed under: Arabidopsis thaliana (thale cress)
Lineage: Eukaryota; Viridiplantae; Streptophyta; Magnoliopsida; Brassicales; Brassicaceae
Description: ATSL111450
Source: RNAcentral